CGGAGAUGUAAAGGCGGUAAAGAGCAGGCGGUCGGUUGGUCGCUGAGGCGGCGGCGAGAGCCGAGGGGAGGGCGGGAUGGCGCUGCACAGAGGGGGGUGUCUCCGAGCUCAGGGACCCCCCACUCACAGCCCCAGGGAGGCGGCCGGUGACAGGAUUCAUCUGUCUGCUGAAGCAUGGCUUUCCCCAAAGAUGUAACUGCAAGCAUCAUAUUUAAGAAAUGCCCUUUAAGAGCUAUCCAGAAGAAGAAGAGAAAAUUGAGUUGCUAACGGUGUCUACUCAGGUGCUCACCCAGGUAGAUACACUGCUCAUCAUGGAGACUGCCUCACAAUACUGGGAACUUAAGCCCAAAAUUUUUGCCAAUUUAUACUAAAUAUAAGAUAAGCCACAGAAUACAAUUUCUUCUAGACCAGAGCAUUCCACAGUUCCAGGGACAUUUUGAUAUGGAUCCAGACAAAGCAGGUCAUGAAUUUCCACUGUGAAGGGCAGCCUCCACCUUGGCAGCUUGCAGCCUGCGAGGUAAAAUAUUUGAGACAUUUUGGUCGGUCGCCAAGGGGAGCUGCUGCGGAGAUUGCCCGGUGGGCAGCAUCCUGUGACCACCCGCACGGGUCAAGCACGCUCGAGGCAGAAUGGUGGGUGUCCUUCAGAGAGCAAAGGCAAAGGGUCUGCACCCUCCACCCCAGUGGCCUCCGCUCAGAUGAAGCUGCUGCAUGGAGACCUCAGACUGCAGGAGGUGCCUUCUCUCAGCCUUUCUCCUGGGGCAGAGACAGGCAGGAGACUUGCAAAAGUUGUGUGCAGGUGGAGGACCUUCUGCAGCAUCAGAGUAGCAUCAGGCGUAGCAUCAGGGAGUAUGAGCAGAAGACAGACAGCUGGUUCCAAGCGCAGCCUGCACUGGACCCACAACCCACAGCCAAACAGUCAAAAUCUCCCACACUGGCAGGCACAGAAGGAAAGGCCAGCAAUGGACGAAUGGAAGCUUGUAACUGCAAAGACCAGCAGGAAGAAAAGAUUUCCCCUGAAGCCUAAGGCGCCUUUGCAGAAGUGCUCCACUGCUCUGCAGAGAGAAGAGGAAAGACCAACUGCAUCAGGAGGGGUGCUGGAGCUGAGUGAGGCUCUCCAUCUCCUCCCCGAAUAACAGCACAACCAAGAAAAGGCGAUGGGUGAUAGCAGUAGACGACUCUCUUCUGAGAGGUACAGAGGCACCCGUUUGCCAGCGUGAUGCACUCUCUAGGGAUGUGCACUUUUAUCAGGGGUUUAUCAGCACUUUCAUUCCUGUUUAUCAGCGGCUCAUAUCGGGGAUGUCACUGAGAGAUUACCCACCACAGUGGUUUUACUUUCAGAAGGAUUAGUUUCAUAAAAUUGUGUUAAGUGUCUUAGGUAGGACCAUAAAUCAGAGUUAUUAACUUUUCUGAGACCUAAAUUUUCUUUUUGUAAAUGAUUUCUAGAUUUCAGUCUAUGCAGCUAACUAGUAAAUUUUCUGUGAUUGUUUCUGUAACAGUGGAGAAGCUUUCAGCAAUGAUCUAAAAAAUUGUAGGUAUUUGUUUAGUGGCUGUGAAAAAAGCAGAAAAUGCCAUCUGUCUGUGUUUAGAAUUAGGGAGACUUGCAAGAAAACCCUGUGCCUGCAAUAUAAGAGUGGUUCAUUAUAAAACUUUCUGGGAAUCCGUAUUUGUUACAACAAACUCUCUUCAUUCAGAUAGUUUUCCUCCUUGGUAGACCUUAUAAGCAGAAUAGAGAAUUUUAGAGAGCUAUGAAGAGUCAGUGAACAAAGAUAUUUCAAUUCUCUGGUUGCCAUCAUGGUACCUCAUGAAUAUAUGCUAUCAUACAGAUUAUAAACUCAGUGUAGGAGUGCCUGAGCCAUGUCAGUCCUUUUUGCUUGAGCUCUGGCCUGUUAGUAAAGAAUGCUCUUUUUUUCACCUGAGACACAUAUGUAGAUGCUACAUGUAACGUGCAUUUGAGAUGAUCAGAGUAAGAGACAAGAAAUGGGAUCUAAGGAUGCUCCAUUUAAGAGAUGUGUCCUUUGCCACAUGGCUGCUGAGAUCAGUACUUAAGGCUUUUGUUGAAUUCCAUAUUUUGUCUAUAAUUGCUUGUAGCUUGUGGCGACAGAGCGUGCUGGAAGAUACCCUAGCUAUGAAUAUCUAUGGGAUGAUUAAAAAAAAUUAAUAUAACACUAGAAAUAUGUAAUACAGGAUUUCUUAACAUGUUCAGUUUUGUCUUUUACGUAUUUGUCUUAAGCGAUUUAGUACAUCCCCAUGACAAAUUUGCCUGGUUUUGUUUUUGUUUUAUUAUACAAUUUUUAUUAGCUAUUGUACUGUGUUCAUAAACUCUACUCCUAGGCAGAAGGAGACACAGUAAAACUGUCAUAUUCAAUUGAAAUAUCACACUGUGGUGUACCACAACUAUACAUGAAAGUGUAUCCAAAAUGUUGCAUGUUUGAGAAGGUCGGGUUAGCAAAAUAACAAUUCGGGAACAGAUUUUGUAUUGGUGGACCUAAUAUAGCAAUGACUGUCAAAACAAGAAUUUAAUAAAAGAAAAAGGUUUUGGAAUAAGCCUUAUUAACUGAGUAAAAGUGUGAAUAUUUCAGUUAUUAUGUUCAAAAGCAUAUGAUAUUAUGCUAGUUUCUUCUUAGCUGAUUGUUUUCCUAGCUGGUUUGGGAAAAAAAAAAAAAGAGGAAAAUUAAUAAGCUCUUUCUAAUUGUCUUGUGACCCCUGUUUGUUUUUUUCAUAAAGAUCCCUUUUCUGCAGUAAGACUCAAUCAUUGCUUUCCUGUAGUAGUUCAGAGAGUUUUUGACAUCUUUUUGGAAUCAGGUAGGAAGCGUGGUGACACCAUAACCAGAAAAUUCUAUGAGUACAAAAAUGUUAUUCCAGGUUUUCAAAUGAAGACUGGAGUUCAAGGACAUGUCUCAGCUUAACAUCAGUUUAGAAGAACACCUGUGACCAGAUUUUUUUUUUCAUAUUUUUGAGAAACACUAUGUUUUAUAUUUUACUAGAAAAAUCAUUAAGCUUCACAUAAACCUAGGUGGAUUUCUUCUGUUACAGGAAUGUCUGCUGUUUAUUUAUUUUUAUUUAGCUUGUCUCUUAGCUGCUGUUGCUGGCUUGUUUUCUUCCCUUUCUUGUUUUGCUUUUUUAUUUUUGAGAUUUCUCCUUUCUGAUUCUGUGUUUUGAAAUAUGUAGGUCUUUGAUAGCUUUUUUCAAGAUAAAACUAAUUUUGACUUAAAACUCGCUAUAUGAAGAUAUGAUGUUAAAAUCUCCUUCAUUGUUAACUUAUCUGAAAUGUUUUGAUUAUUUUGUAUAGUUACUCUGAUACUAGGACUGAAAUUUAAGAGAGUUAAUAUUAAGAUAAUUUUGUUAAGAGGUGUGCACCUCAGUUCAUUUUAGUCUUCAGAUACUUUGAUUUUUAAACAGACUGAUAAGAAUGAUCGAAGUUAAAGAAUGUAUAGUUACUGAACAACAAAUACAUGUGAAAUCUCUUCAGAGUUUUUCAUUGUGUUUCAAAAUAUAAAGUUUAUUUGCAAGUCUUUGAAAAUAACCAAUAUAAUACGACUUCUGUCCUGUUUCUCUUCCUCUUUUCCCCCAAAAGACAUAAAGCAAACUAUAUGUAGCUAUUUCCAAGCUAUUAUUAUGUUAAGAAAUGAAGUUGUGGUUUAAUGGAGUUUUCUUUCCAAGGUAGGAAAAUGAAAACUAAAUGAAAGAAAACUGGAAUAGAAUGGAAGAAAUGCUGAUGAAACAGCUUACAUUUCAUUCCAGAAACUGUAGAAUGGACAUUCUUCAAGCAUGGACAUUAAUGCUUCAGAUCUCUCGAUUUAGACAAGUUUGGACAGUAGUAACUCAAAAUAUCCAGCCAGUCUCUUACAAAAAUAUUGUAUUAUGACUGGACUGGCCUUUAGUGAAAGUGAAAAAUGGACAUUAACAUGGGAUAGGAAAAAGCUAAAUGAACUAUCUUAUCUUCAGAUGCAGUGAAGCAUUGAAAUGUAAUCUGUACUUUUCAUUUUGAGUAGACAGGAUUAUCUCAGUCUAACAUGUAAAUUCAAUUGGUGCCUGGCAGAUUCCCUGUUCUUUGUUCCACAUCACCAUGUCAAAUCCAGAUAAAUUAAUGUCUUAGUGUUGGCUUGCGUUAGCAGAAACAGAAAAGAGAAAAAUUAAAAUCUUUAUAAUAAAAAUUUAUAGCAAAAAUUCUCUUUAGUUGUUUGAAAUCUAUUAUUUAUUUACUAUUUAUUAUUUACUAUUUAUUAUUAUUUAUUUAUUUAUCUACAAUCUAUUUACAAGACUGGUAUUAGCCUUCGUUAUCCUUCAGUCACAUAUUGACAGGAUAGAGAACUGGACAGAGAGGAACUUCAUGAAGUUCAGCAAAGGAAAAUGCAAAGUCCUGCACCUGAGGACAAAUAACACCAGGCACCAGUACAACAUGAUGCCUGACCAGCUGGAAAGCAGCUUUGCCAAAAUGGACCUUGGGGUCUUGGUGGGCAACAAGCUGACCAGCAACGUACCCUCACAGCAAGAAAGACCAACAGUUUCUGGGCAUACUUGGCAGAAUGUUGCUAGCAAGUCGAGGGAGGUGAUCCUUCCCCUCCACUCAGCACUUGUGAGGCUGUAUCUGGAAUUCUGUGAUCACUGGUACGAGAAAGAUAUGGAAUUAUGGAAUGAGUCCAGCAUAAGAUCACAAAGAUGAUGGGGAGGGAAUGUAGAAAAAUGAGCAAGACUCUUCUCAGCGGUGUCCACUCAUAGGACAAGAAGGAAUGAGAACAAAGUAAAUGCAAAAACCUAAAUCUAAACACACUUGUUUAAGCUUUCUUCGUUACUGUUAAAUGCUUUUUAUGAUGGAAUGUCAACUUUCUUCCUGUAGCACUUUUUUCCUCAUAUUUAUUCAGUUUUUAUUUUAUUUCAAUCUUUUUAAAAUUAUGGAUAUUUUGCCCUCGUUUCAUUUAACAGUUCCCAAAAUGAUGGGAGUAAGAGGCUGGUAUAUUGCUUCAUAUGCAUUUUGUUCACUUAGAAUUGCAAAUACAAUUUCCCAGCCUCCCACAAUAUGUGUCUGCUACAGUGACGUAUUUCAUUAUAGUAUUUCAUAGAACACAUUUGUUGUUGCCUACUGCUUGUUUGGAUUUUUUAUGUCUGUUCGUCUCAUAUUCAAGGGAAUCUGAACCACCUUGAAAAUGUACUUUUUUUUUUCUUAAACACAGCAUGUGUCUUCUUCCCUCUUUUAUAUUCAAUUAUUUCUAUUUUUACAAAAUAUUUUGUUUAUCAGUUUAUUUAAAGAUUUUGGUUGCUAGCCAAUGAAUUUUAGCCCAUGGAAGCAACAGAAAAACUAUGAAACUUGAAGAACUGGGUCAGUUUAUAUUUACUUUGUCACUCCAAUUCUUACAGAGUAGAUCAAAGUCUUAAAUUUACGUCCUUCCUAGCAAAAUUUGAAGUUCUCUCUCCUUUCUGUAUUCUCUCUGUAUAUAUGUAAGCAUAUAUAUGUUGUUGUUGUUGCUUAAGAAACAAUCUUGUAGUGUUACACAUAGUCAUUGAUAUAGUUACACGAUGUCAUUGAUUGUAAUCAUAUAUCCACAACAAUUUUUCCCUGAAAUCUUCUGGAACAAUUAAAGAAAAUUCAAAUAGAAAGUUAACCUAUUUGCUAAUGAAUUUUAAAACACUCUUAAUGCAGACACUAUAUUAACAACACUAUGGUUAAAGGAAUGUGUGGGCUGGUUCUGAAGGGUCUGGAAG
This is a long non-coding RNA of Calidris pugnax (ruff), 5700 nucleotides long. RefSeq lists it as uncharacterized. The transcript is spliced from 6 exons. NCBI's taxonomy places the organism in Eukaryota, Metazoa, Chordata, Aves, Charadriiformes, Scolopacidae. The record is from RefSeq and is a predicted model, not a curated record.